GUGAAAAGGAAGCAAGUGUCAUGAGUGUGGCCAGUAGAGAAACCCCUGGGAGCCAGAUCUGCCUUCCCCAUCCUCAUGGAUGUUCCACCAUACUCGCUCCUCUUGAUGCCAGCCUGCCAUGCUGGGGUCAGCACUACACCAUGCCUGGCUUCCCCUGGAAAAGGUCACGCAAGUAACUGACUGAGCUGGGGGAGAUGCACUGUUCCUUCUCAGGACUUCCCAGCUCACAACCUCACAGUGAAAGGCAUCCAUGGGGGCAGGAGGAACAUCAUCCUCGAAGCUGGCAUCAGUGAACAGCAUCUUAGAGGCACUGUCCCCUGCAUAUCCCAUAUGUCCCCACAGGCAGAUGGGCACAUAGGGCACCCCCAGGGGCUCUGGGUGCCACAGGACAGCCGCAGAGUAGGAGCUCACAGGAGUUACACUAGCCAUAGACUCCAGGCUGUCUUGGGGCCUGGCCUGGAGAGAGCAAGGGCUGCCCCUAAGUCAGGGGCAGAGCCAGGCGUGGGGUGGGUGCAGGGAAGGACUGGUUGCUGG
Haliaeetus leucocephalus (bald eagle) is the source of this 534-nucleotide long non-coding RNA. RefSeq lists it as uncharacterized. The transcript has 3 exons. NCBI's taxonomy places the organism in Eukaryota, Metazoa, Chordata, Aves, Accipitriformes, Accipitridae. The record is from RefSeq and is a predicted model, not a curated record.